CUCAUUUCCCCAGUUCUUCAUUUCCCAAGCCGACUCUUCGUUUCCCCAGUUCUUCAUUUCCUCAAAACCAAUAGCUCUUCGAUUUCUCCAAUGCCGCUUCGGCUUCCAGAGAAUUCGUGCUCCUCUUCGUCUCAUCUUUUCAAACGUAUUCACUUUGAUCUACACAAACCUCCUCUCCUCUUCGUCUCAUCUUCUUCUUCAUCCUCACUCACUUCAAGAAAUCUAACAGAGGGGAGAAAACCCUAACCCUAGCUUUAAUCCAAACCCUAAUGGCGACGGCUCCCAUCUACGGCUCCUCUCUCGAGGAGGCCGAGCUCCGAAUCAAAAACCUAAAAUCCAAGUUCGCUGAAUUAUUCGACGGCGAUCAGCCUGAUCUUUUCGCUAGAUCUCCAGGGAGAGUGAAUUUGAUCGGUGAGCAUAUUGAUUAUGAGGGGUACUCGGUGUUGCCGAUGGCGAUUCGGCAGGAUACGAUUGUAGGGAUCAAGAAGAGGAGCGAUUCGAAGCCGCUGUUGAGAAUUGGGAAUGUUAAUGAUAAGUAUAGCUUGUGUACCUAUCCUGCUGAUGCUAAUCAGGAAAUUGAUUUGAAGAAUCACAAAUUGGGGCAUUAUUUUAUUUGUGGUUACAAGGGAUUUUAUGAGUUUGCUAAAGCGAAAGGAUUCGAUCUGGGCGCACCCGUCGGCCUUGAUGUAGUUGUUGAUGGGAUAGUUCCUACAGGAUCUGGACUCUCAAGCUCAGCAGCAUUUGUAUGCUCUGCCACAAUUGCUAUAAUGGCUGCUUUUGAUGCAAAGUAUCCAAAGAAAGAAAUUGCUCAACUUACAUGUGAAUGUGAACGCCACAUUGGAACACAGUCUGGCGGGAUGGAUCAGGUUGUACUUUCUGUCAUGUACUAAGCGAGGUCGACACGCUUUGGUUUUAUGAAGAGUUGAACUUUUAACCUUCUCUUCUUUUGCGUGCUUGGGUGGAAGUGGUACUAGGAUGAGCGACCUCUAGGAAGUCCUUGCUCGGGAGGAUUUAGCAGGGGUUAAAAUUCUUCAUGGUCUUGAUUACUAAUUCCGUGAAAUCCACCACUCAUAAAUUGUUGAUACUUUUCUUUCUUCUGGGGAAAAUACAUAUGACAAUCUUAGUCUAGCAGUAAUGAUUUCAUUGAAUCUUGAUGUAAAGUCUGUUUGAUGUACAUUGAUAUAUCCACCAAUCAAUACAAUUUUAUUGAAUCAUAAGGUAAAGUCUUCUAUA
This is an RNA transcript of Asparagus officinalis (garden asparagus), 1233 nucleotides long. It is a transcript of the gene named galactokinase-like, with no coding region annotated. Lineage: Eukaryota; Viridiplantae; Streptophyta; Magnoliopsida; Asparagales; Asparagaceae. The transcript is spliced from 9 exons. The record is from RefSeq and is a predicted model, not a curated record.